CCAAAGCAAGAACAAAGGAUGAUAAGAAAGAAUAAGAACCCUAGGGUGAAAAUUCAAGAGAAAAUUGGUGGAUUUCAAGUAAUCAAGCAAUCAAAGGUAAAAUUUCUUGAUUUUGACUUGUGAUCUACCUUUCCCAUACAUUCUUUUGCAUUUUCUAUGGUUGAAUCACAAGAUAUCAUGAAGGAUAGUGUGUUGAUCAAACCCUAGGAGAGAGAAUUUGAUGAUGAUUUAGAUAGAUUUUUAAGGUAUAUGGAUGUUUUUAGUUGUUUAUGGUGUUACGUGUAAGAACUAAGCUUGAAAUUCACAUAUUCCUCAUGAGUUCAUCAUUGGCCAAAUCUUCCUUGUAGAGUGUUGAUGGUGGAUUUGAUUUUAUUUCAAGUGAAUUGGUUAGGAAAUGAUGAAUUAUGGUGUGAAAAAUCAAGUAGGAAAAAUCAUAGUGUUGAUGCACUCACCGUGGCCGAAAUUCUCAAGAAGAAAUGUGAGGAUGAUUUUGCUAAAUUUUAUGCUAUUUGACUUGUGUUUGAUGGUUUGGGGAAUUGGAAGAAAAAUGGAAUUAUUGGAGUUGAAUUGGACAUAUUGGCCAAUUAAUUGAGUGAUAGAUCGAAUUAGGCUAAUACCGUUUUAUUUAGGUACACAAUUGAAUUUGUGUAGAACACCGUAUUUGGACGAUAAUCCGAACAAUUUACAUCCCAUUUCAUGCAUUAGUAUAGAGCCUGAAUUGGUUUUAUAACAAUUUAGCACAAAUGUAGUAAAUGGCUUAUUGUGCAUUAUGUCUAGGUGGUGAGCAUUCUGGCAAAAGUAAAGAGAUAGUACCCGAGGAUCAAGAAUCGGAGUACUCGAAAUUCGACUCCCGAAAUAGUGAGUAACCUUACUAUCAUCUUAAUUAUCUAAAGUGGUUUUUAUCCGAUUUUGUGAUUUUAUGGAAAAUGAGUUAAAU
RNAcentral lists this long non-coding RNA (937 nucleotides) under Theobroma cacao (cacao). Its description in RNAcentral is "long non-coding RNA (TCAC_LNC004812)". The record is from RNAcentral. Lineage: Eukaryota; Viridiplantae; Streptophyta; Magnoliopsida; Malvales; Malvaceae.